UGGGGAAUCUUGGACAAUGGGCGCAAGCCUGAUCCAGCCAUGCCGCGUGAGUGAUGAAGGCCCUAGGGUCGUAAAGCUCUUUCGCCAGGGAUGAUAAUGACAGUACCUGGUAAAGAAACCCCGGCUAACUCCGUGCCAGCAGCCGCGGUAAUACGGAGGGGGUUAGCGUUGUUCGGAAUUACUGGGCGUAAAGCGCGCGUAGGCGGAUUGGAAAGUUGGGGGUGAAAUCCCGGGGCUCAACCCCGGAACUGCCUCCAAAACUCCCAGUCUUGAGUUCGAGAGAGGUGAGUGGAAUUCCGAGUGUAGAGGUGAAAUUCGUAGAUAUUCGGAGGAACACCAGUGGCGAAGGCGGCUCACUGGCUCGAUACUGACGCUGAGGUGCGAAAGUGUGGGGAGCAAACAGGAUUAGAUACCCCCGUAGUCC
This 424-nucleotide ribosomal RNA is filed under the name uncultured prokaryote. RNAcentral describes it as "bacterial SSU rRNA". It matches the Rfam family "Bacterial small subunit ribosomal RNA", at positions 355 to 796 of the family's 1533-position model. The record is from RNAcentral.